GACGAACGCUGGCGGCGUGCCUAAUACAUGCAAGUUGAGCGCUGAAGGUUGGUACUUGUACCAACUGGAUGAGCAGCGAACGGGUGAGUAACGCGUGGGGAAUCUGCCUUUGAGCGGGGGACAACAUUUGGAAACGAAUGCUAAUACCGCAUAAAAACUUUAAACACAAGUUUUAAGUUUGAAAGAUGCAAUUGCAUCACUCAAAGAUGAUCCCGCGUUGUAUUAGCUAGUUGGUGAGGUAAAGGCUCACCAAGGCGAUGAUACAUAGCCGACCUGAGAGGGUGAUCGGCCACAUUGGGACUGAGACACGGCCCAAACUCCUACGGGAGGCAGCAGGAGGGAAUCUUCGGCAAUGGACGAAAGUCUGAACGAGCAACGCCGCGUGAGGGAAGAAGGGUUUCGGAUCGUAAAACUCUGUUGGUAGAGAAGAACGUUGGUGAGAGUGGAAAGCUCAUCAAGUGACGGUAACUACCCAGAAAGGGACGGCUAACUACGUG
RNAcentral lists this ribosomal RNA (497 nucleotides) under uncultured bacterium. RNAcentral describes it as "partial 16S ribosomal RNA". It matches the Rfam family "Bacterial small subunit ribosomal RNA", at positions 28 to 507 of the family's 1533-position model. The record is from RNAcentral.